UACGGAGGGGACUAGCGUUGUUCGGAAUUACUGGGCGUAAAGCGCACGUAGGCGGAUUUGUAAGUCAGGGGUGAAAUCCCGGGGCUCAACCUCGGAACUGCCUUUGAUACUGCAAAUCUCGAGUCCGGAAGAGGUGAGUGGAAUUCCGAGUGUAGAGGUGAAAUUCGUAGAUAUUCGGAGGAACACCAGUGGCGAAGGCGGCUCACUGGUCCGGUACUGACGCUGAGGUGCGAAAGCGUGGGGAGCAAACAGG
Molecule: ribosomal RNA, 253 nt
Filed under: uncultured bacterium
Lineage: Bacteria
Description: partial 16S ribosomal RNA
Rfam family: Bacterial small subunit ribosomal RNA
Source: RNAcentral